GAUGAACGCUAGCUACAGGCUUAACACAUGCAAGUCGAGGGACCGGCGCACGGGUGAGUCACACGUAUCCAACCUGCCCUUUACUCGCGGCAAGCCUUUCGAAAGAAAGCUCAAUACCCGAUAUCAGGGCUGGGGAUGCUUUCCAUUAGGUUGUUGGUGAGGGAGCGGCCCACAAAGCCUUCGAUGAAUAGGGGUUCUGAGAGUAAGGUCCCCAAUAUUGGAACUGAGACAAGGUGCAAACUCCUACGGGAGGCAGCAAUGAGGAAUAUUGGUCAAGGGGCGCUAGCCUGAACCAGACAAGUAGCGUGAAGUAUGAAGGCUUAUGGGUCGUAAACUUCUUUUAUAGAAGAAUACGUAUUAUAUGAAUAAGGAUCGGGUAACUCCGUGCCAGCGGCCGCGGUAAUUC
This 406-nucleotide ribosomal RNA is filed under the name uncultured bacterium. RNAcentral describes it as "partial 16S ribosomal RNA". It matches the Rfam family "Bacterial small subunit ribosomal RNA", at positions 28 to 526 of the family's 1533-position model. The record is from RNAcentral.